GUGGGGAAUAUUGGACAAUGGGCGAAAGCCUGAUCCAGCCAUGCCGCGUGUGUGAAGAAGGUCUUCGGAUUGUAAAGCACUUUAAGUUGGGAGGAAGGGCAGUAAGUUAAUACCUUGCUGUUUUGACGUUACCGACAGAAUAAGCACCGGCUAACUUCGUGCCAGCAGCCGCGGUAAUACGAAGGGUGCAAGCGUUAAUCGGAAUUACUGGGCGUAAAGAGCGCGUAGGUGGUUUUGUAAGUUGGAGGUGAAAUCCCCGGGCUCAACCUGGGAACUGCCUCCAAAACUGCAUGACUAGAGUACGGUAGAGGGUAGUGGAAUUUCCUGUGUAGCGGUGAAAUGCGUAGAUAUAGGAAGGAACACCAGUGGCGAAGGCGACUACCUGGACUGAUACUGACACUGAGGUGCGAAAGCGUGGGGAGCAAACAGGAUUAGAUACCCUAGUAGUCC
Molecule: ribosomal RNA, 450 nt
Filed under: uncultured bacterium
Lineage: Bacteria
Description: partial 16S ribosomal RNA
Rfam family: Bacterial small subunit ribosomal RNA
Source: RNAcentral